Molecule: unclassified non-coding RNA, 383 nt
Filed under: fungal sp.
Lineage: Eukaryota; Fungi
Description: partial internal transcribed spacer region
Rfam family: Eukaryotic small subunit ribosomal RNA (bases 1-46)
Source: RNAcentral
AAGUCGUAACAAGGUUUCCGUAGGUGAACCUGCGGAAGGAUCAUUAACACGUUAUCCACGUACCUACCUCUUGCGAACUUUUUACUGUUUAAGAGUCGGCAGACCAGCGUAGAUGAUGGAGGUAGAUGUUACUAUGUCCAGCGUGAGGCCCGCCGCCCGCCCUGGUUCUACCUGCCUAACUGACUUCCCUCCCCCUCAUGUGCUGUGUGUAUUGGGGGUGUGUGGGCGUGGUUGGAUAUUCUGGUUCAAAUGACUCGAAUCAUAGUAGUUUUUUGUAUUAACCCUUUUUACAAAUUUGUUGAAUUGUGAUGGUCUGAAGGUAACACUUCAUACUCACGUUAAUAAAACACUAUACAACUCUUAGCAACGGAUAUCUCGGUUCU